AGUACAUCAAGCCAAAAGACCCAUGAGAUCAUCCAGGAAGCAAAGGAGCAAGCAACAUCAGCAAAUCAACUCGGAGACACUUUCCCGCGGUCGCGUCGCUUCCGACCGCGGCCAAGAUACCUUCUCCCGCGGUCGUGCUUGGUCUACCCGCGGCCCAUGGGCAUUUUCCCGCGGUCGCAUCCCCUGCAGUCAAAGCCAACCGGAAAAACGUUCCAAAACAGUCCUGUUCAGCUCAUACAAGCAGCUGUGCGUCUGAUGCACCUCCUGGGAUGACUAAACCACUCCAUCAACAACUGGUUUGCUC
This 304-nucleotide long non-coding RNA is filed under the name Eutrema salsugineum. Its description in RNAcentral is "long non-coding RNA (ESAL_LNC000994)". The record is from RNAcentral. Lineage: Eukaryota; Viridiplantae; Streptophyta; Magnoliopsida; Brassicales; Brassicaceae.